GACGAACGCUGGCGGCGUGCCUAAUACAUGCAAGUUGAGCGCUGAAGGUUGGUACUUGUACCAACUGGAUGAGCAGCGAACGGGUGAGUAACGCGUGGGGAAUCUGCCUUUGAGCGGGGGACAACAUUUGGAAACGAAUGAUAAUACCGCAUAAAAACUUUAAACACAAGUUUUAAGUUUGAAAGAUGCAAUUGCAUCACUCAAAGAUGAUCCCGCGUUGUAUUAGCUAGUUGGUGAGGUAAAGGCUCACCAAGGCGAUGAUACAUAGCCGACCUGAGAGGGUGAUCGGCCACAUUGGGACUGAGACACGGCCCAAACUCCUACGGGAGGCAGCAGUAGGGAAUCUUCGGCAAUGGACGAAAGUCUGACCGAGCAACGCCGCGUGAGUGAAGAAGGUUUUCGGAUCGUAAAACUCUGUUGGUAGAGAAGAACGUUGGUGAGAGUGGAAAGCUCAUCAAGUGACGGUAACUACCCAGAAAGGGACGGCUAACUACGUG
This 497-nucleotide ribosomal RNA is filed under the name uncultured bacterium. RNAcentral's name for it is "partial 16S ribosomal RNA". It matches the Rfam family "Bacterial small subunit ribosomal RNA", at positions 28 to 507 of the family's 1533-position model. The record is from RNAcentral.